This is a long non-coding RNA of Dermacentor albipictus, 3180 nucleotides long. RefSeq lists it as uncharacterized. The record is from RefSeq and is a predicted model, not a curated record. NCBI's taxonomy places the organism in Eukaryota, Metazoa, Arthropoda, Arachnida, Ixodida, Ixodidae.
UGGUAUGUGCCCAUUCUUGAGCAAUCCUCCAGAACCAGUGUGCCAAGACAGAGAGAAAGAGAAGGAAAUGCAAGCCGGUUGACCAUGUUGCGCCUGCUUCGCCUGAUUUCCCUUCCUACAGUGGAGGAAGGGAAAGUGGGCACAGAAGGAAACGGAUGAGAACAGGUGAUGUGCGCGCAGACGCAACAGGGCCCACCGCGCAGCUAUGGGCGGUCACCAACGAUGUGCCAAAGUGAGCCGAGGAUACACGGCAUUGAAUAUAUUAAAGCGACAGCGUCUCCUCCACAACAGACAGCUCCGCAUCGAGCGGGGUCGCUUGACGCAAAGCCAUUGCGGUUAACUUGCAACUAUGGGUACUCUUCGGCGUUUGAACUGUGGUGCAGCGCUUGCAACGAGAUCGACCGCAUCGUUUCGCAUUGUGGCUGGCAGCGUGGUUGCCACUUCGUGCAUCUGCGGUGGCAACGCGGUGUGUCAUUACGUUGUUUUAACGCUAAUCGCAGUAACAUCGACAUUCGUCGUGAGAUGGGUUCGGCCGAAAUUGUUUUCCGGUGCUGCAUAGCUCGCAUCCUUUCUCAUUAUUAAAGACAGAGCAAAAACACGACAUCCAGCCUGGCAACUAACCAUUCAUUAUCGUUUGAAGUUGACGCAUAUUUCCCACCUUGAGCUUUUAGUUCAUCUUGCUCGAAAGAUUGCGUGUUGCCGAUUGCCGAUAAAAGAGUGGCGCACACGGGCCUGACUCUCGUGACGACGAGCGUCGUCAUAAUCUCGCAUGGGACUCGAUAUUUUUUGAGCGCGCCGUAGAACGCUAUAACCCGCUGUGGGGAACGAUGUCAUGCGCAUACGUUCAUCUUCUGAUAAGCCACUUUUUCCUUCCAGAGUUGUCUUUUCUCAGCUGCAUUUCAACACUGUGCGCGGUCAAUGUCUGAGCUCCUGCACGGCUCAUAAUUCCUACAUUAUUUUCGCCAGAGCAAUGCCUGCGCCUUUCGUUUUCUAAUCACACAAGCACCGACGUAGCGUUGCUAGUUUGACAAUAAGAGAAACAAAAAAGGAAGUCAGUGUUAGCACCCCGAGUUCUUCUCUGGUCUCCCAAGACUUGGAAACUUGAUCCACAAAUUUUUGAUGGAAAGAGGAGGGUCACCGAAAGAAGGGAAUCCCCCUGCGGUCGCGUUCUUUGGUUUACCUGCCGGUAACACCCAUCCAGCCCGCAGCGAAGUACGUGGGCCUGUCGGUGUCCGCGCUAGCUUUCGAGCGCACCCGUAUUGGCGAGGAGAAAGGGAGCCAACGCAAACAACCAGCGAUGAAGUCAGUCGACAGCUCAUCUGCGAUCCAAUAAUUCGCCCUCGGAGAGAAGUUCCGACCGGCGCGCACCACCCCCGUGCAUUCUCGGCGAGCUGCAGUGUUCGUGGACGGAGCGCAUCCAUCUCCCGAUGCCACCGAGCGCUGCGGUGGCAGCGACGCCCUUCCGCUCACUCGCGUCUUCUUCAGCGUGGCAAGCCGUUGUGCAUCGGGGUUUAGUUGGGCGCGGUCAUGCAUAGGCGCCGACUACGGAGGAGGGGUCCGAGCCCCUUCCUGCGAUACCGAAGCCUAUAUAACCCCCCAACUCUAAAGUGCCAAAGUUUUGUCAACCACAUCAUUAUCUUAGUUUUCUUUUGAGUUACCUCUAACUUAUCACUUAAAAUUUUAUUCUGGCUAAUGGCUUACUGCAUCGUUUUCGGCGCGGACGUGCACGGCUUUUAACUCAUGUUUUCGCUUUACUUCUGCAAAUCCUGACAAUAUGAGGACAAACGCAUUAAAAGCACUAGCGGCGGCUGCCUCAGCCGUAUUUUCUCAUUUCAACAUUGGUUUAAAUUUCCACUGUAAACAGCAUGCACGUACACAAUAUAUUGAAAUAUGCAAAACAGGGCAAAUCUGAUUAUAUUAUUGAAAGAGAAGGAGGUCGGCAAUUAAAAAUUAUUUCUAAAGGUAUGGAUAGCCUAUGCCUAGAGAAUGAAUGUGUUGCUGUAUGUUUACCUCGCUUCAAAUUUCUUUGCGUGCUUUUUUGAUCCUGAAAAAACCUGCAGACUUCAGUCACCCCUUCGCCACACUCUUUUAUCAACGGCGUGUGAAAUGCACGUGAAUGAUGUGUGUGUCGGUAUUGCUUCUCUUCCCAGUGUGCAAUGCUAACGACUCAUGAAAAAAAGAACUCUUCUAAUAAUUUAAAUUUAUUACGGAUGGAAAUAUCCCCAAUGGCACGCAGAGGUCAUAAAUAUAUAUAGGGUGCCCCAAUUAACUAUCAAGCACCCAGAUUUUAAAAAAAGAGCGAUUGUGUUACUUCAACAAAAGCUAGUGAAUAUUGUUUCCCGUAUCGUGGUGUAGCUGCCAGUAAUUGUUUCAUUACUGAGAUUUAAUUAGGUAAUUGUAAUUAAUUAUCUAACUCGAGACGUACUAUCCUGAUUAUCAAAGUGUCAAUGAGGCAUUUGUAGGCACGGCCAAAGGACAUAUAAGUGUGGUAUAUUCAGCGACGUACUAACUGUGUUCAAAUUUUUUUCCAACGGAUAAAUAAACUCCGCGAAAUAUGGAGAAUACCACGUGACUGCGCUCCCACCUUGAUCAUAAAGCAGCACCCUGAAAGGGAGACGUGGUAUUGCUAUUGCUAAAGGGAAACGUACUGGCUCCUUCUCAGUUAGCCAGUACGAAAUGAAGGAAAUAAACAACAACAUUGUGAUAGGGCUAGUGCCUUAUCUGCCGCGUCGCGGCUGAAGUAACAAGUCGCGUUUGGUGUUAGUUGGAAACAAGCUGUCAACGCUGUUGUCUUGGCGUAGAUGAAGUGCACGGAUGUUUUUUUUCUCUCUUUUUUUUUGCCACAAGACCUAUCACCACAAAAGCGAAUUGACAACACCAGUGCGAACGUUUCGAGGCACGUUUUGUUUCGUCUCAGUCGCCGUGUCUUUCUCUACUGAGCAGAAGGAAAACAUGAUUUUUGCCUUGGGCUCUGCAAAUGGCAACAAGAGGAAGGCCGCAAAUAUGCAGGGCGUUCAAAAUUAGGCUUUAUGGUUUUCUUGAAAUUGCGCACUGGGAGGCACGCCAAGACCACCUGUGCAAACAAGUUAUGUCGCCAGGAGGACACAAAGUGAGAUGAUAAUUAUCGCUGUCAGCAGCCCAAUUACCUACAAUUGAAUAAACAACUUUUUAUUGACUGCA